This 438-nucleotide ribosomal RNA is filed under the name uncultured bacterium. RNAcentral describes it as "bacterial SSU rRNA". It matches the Rfam family "Bacterial small subunit ribosomal RNA", at positions 28 to 477 of the family's 1533-position model. The record is from RNAcentral.
GAUGAACGCUAGCGGCAGGCUUAAUACAUGCAAGUCGAGGGGGCAGCAAUGUCACCGGCGAACGGGUGCGUAACGCGUAUGCAACCUACCUACAUCAGGGGGAUAGCCCUAGGAAACUGGGAUUAACACCGCAUAAUAUAUGACAAGGCAUCUUGUUAUAUUGAAAUAUUUAUAGGAUGUAGAUGGGCAUGCGUAGGAUUAGCUAGUUGGUAAGGUAACGGCUUACCAAGGCUACGAUCCUUAGGGGCUCUGAGAGGAGUAUCCCCCACACUGGCACUGAGAUACGGGCCAGACUCCUACGGGAGGCAGCAGUAGGGAAUAUUGGGGCAAUGGAGGCAACUCUGACCCAGCCAUGCCGCGUGCAGGAAGACGGUCCUCUGGAUUGUAAACUGCUUUUGAAUGGGAAGAAUGUGUGGCUUGCGAGCUAUAAUGACGGUA